This 434-nucleotide ribosomal RNA is filed under the name Reishia bronni. RNAcentral describes it as "partial small subunit ribosomal RNA". It matches the Rfam family "Bacterial large subunit ribosomal RNA", at positions 1943 to 2592 of the family's 2925-position model. Lineage: Eukaryota; Metazoa; Mollusca; Gastropoda; Neogastropoda; Muricidae. The record is from RNAcentral.
UGACCGUGCAAAGGUAGCAUAAUCAUUUGCCUUAUAAUUGAAGGCUAGUAUGAAUGGUUUGACGAGAAUUAAGCUGUCUCUUUACAAUUAAAUAUAAUUUUAUUUACAGGUGAAGAAGCCUGUGUUUUAUUGAAAGACAAGAAGACCCUAUCGAGCUUUAAAAAAUUUAGUAGACUUAUCUUAUAUUAAUAAAAAUAUAAGGCUAUUAAAAAUUUUGGUUGGGGCGACUGAGGAACAAAUAAAGCUUCCUUUAUAGUUAAAAACUUACAAGUAUUGAUCCAAUAAAUUUGAUUAAAGGAAUUAGUUACCGUAGGGAUAACAGCAUAAUCUUCUUUGAGAGCUCCCAUCGAAAAGGAGGUUUGUGACCUCGAUGUUGGACCAGAAUACCCAGAAGAUGCAGCUGUCUUCAAAGGUUGGUCUGUUCGACCAUUAAA